Molecule: ribosomal RNA, 578 nt
Filed under: Shigella sonnei
Lineage: Bacteria; Pseudomonadati; Pseudomonadota; Gammaproteobacteria; Enterobacterales; Enterobacteriaceae
Description: partial 23S ribosomal RNA
Rfam family: Bacterial large subunit ribosomal RNA
Source: RNAcentral
AGCGUCUGGAAAGGCGUGCGAUACAGGGUGACAGCCCCGUACACAAAAAUGCACAUAUUGUGAGCUUGAUGAGUAGGGCGGGACACGUGGUAUCCUGUCUGAAUAUGGGGGGACCAUCCUCCAAGGCUAAAUACUCCUGACUGACCGAUAGUGAACCAGUACCGUGAGGGAAAGGCGAAAAGAACCCCGGCGAGGGGAGUGAAAAAGAACCUGAAACCGUGUACGUACAAGCAGUGGGAGCACGCUUAGGCGUGUGACUGCGUACCUUUUGUAUAAUGGGUCAGCGACUUAUAUUCUGUAGCAAGGUUAACCGAAUAGGGGAGCCGAAGGGAAACCGAGUCUUAACUGGGCGUUAAGUUGCAGGGUAUAGACCCGAAACCCGGUGAUCUAGCCAUGGGCAGGUUGAAGGUUGGGUAACACUAACUGGAGGACCGAACCGACUAAUGUUGAAAAAUUAGCGGAUGACUUGUGGCUGGGGGUGAAAGGCCAAUCAAACCGGGAGAUAGCUGGUUCUCCCCGAAAGCUAUUUAGGUAGCGCCUCGUGAAUUCAUCUCCGGGGGUAGAGCACUGUUUCGGCA